GGAUUAACAUGAGUUGAGAUUUGUGAGUUUGGUGUUAUUUACCGAGCUUUGUUUGUUUUGAUUGACUGUUUGCAGGGAAGAGGUUGAAUCAAGGAAGAGGCUGAGUGAGAAGAAUGCAGAGGACUUGAAGCAUAUGGAUAAAAGACAAAGAGACAACCAGGUUGCGUAGAGAACCCUACUGAAGUACUUUCGACGAGCAGUAGCGUCUAGACAAACAAUUCUCAAAUCUUGGUAAUACGUGUUACAUGAACGCCAUUCUCCAGUCGCUAUUCUGUCUGGAAUGCUUCACUGCAGACAUGCAGAAUCAAGACAUCAUUCCACUCGUGCAGAAAUCAAGUCUC
Molecule: long non-coding RNA, 341 nt
Organism: Asterias rubens (European starfish)
Lineage: Eukaryota; Metazoa; Echinodermata; Asteroidea; Forcipulatida; Asteriidae
Exons: 3
Source: RefSeq, a predicted model, not a curated record